This 253-nucleotide ribosomal RNA is filed under the name uncultured bacterium. Its description in RNAcentral is "partial 16S ribosomal RNA". It matches the Rfam family "Bacterial small subunit ribosomal RNA", at positions 524 to 776 of the family's 1533-position model. The record is from RNAcentral.
UACGGGGGGGGCAAGCGUUGUUCGGAAUUACUGGGCGUAAAGGGCCAGUAGGCGGCCAACUAGGUCGGACGUGAAAUCCCCAGGCUCAACCUGGGAACUGCGUCCGAUACUGGAUGGCUUGAAUUCGGGAGAGGGAUGCAGAAUUCCAGGUGUAGCGGUGAAAUGCGCAGAUAUCGGGAGGAACACCUAUGGCGAAGGCAGCUCUCUGGGACGGUACUGACGCUGAGACGCGAAAGCGUGGGGAGCGAACAGG